Molecule: long non-coding RNA, 931 nt
Filed under: Equus caballus (horse)
Lineage: Eukaryota; Metazoa; Chordata; Mammalia; Perissodactyla; Equidae
Description: lncRNA (ENSECAG00000050940.1)
Source: RNAcentral
AAAAUGCUGGAAACAGAUGUUCUGAAGCCUCUGACCUCUUAUCAUUAAUUUUAGAAUUUAAAUGCCUGUUAAUUUCCCCCUUUUAUUGCUGAGCUCCACACAGCAGCAUGUUCAAUGUCAAUGGGGAUAUCCUUUGGAGACAUUCAGUAUAUCAAAUCUGAAGGUCGCUGGAAAUCUGGGCACUUAGAGCAGGAGAGGAGGACCAGGAGAGAGGGGAAGGGCACCGUGGGGCACAGAGCGAGGUUGAGAAGAGGCUUCUUUGGCUGAAAUUGAGAGAUGAGCAGAAGACCUGAGUCUUCUGUCUGUCCUUGGCCGGUGCACACACGAAUAAGGGCUUUAGGGAGGAAACACACAUGACUCUUAGGAAAAUGGAAGCAGUGAUUUGAAGGAGCCUCCCUCACUCCCUGUGUCUGGCACCCUCUUUUUCCAUCUGAUGACCGAAAGGGGCUUACCAGGAGCUAUCACACAGCAGUGGACAGCACACAGAUCCUGGAGUCUGGCCGACCCGGGUUCAAGUUCUGCUUCCCUUGCUUUCGAGUGAGAAGACCUUCGAUACAUAUCUUCACUGAACCUCCAUUUGCUUGUGUGGAAAAUGGAGGUGAUAACACAAGGAGAAGUCAGCCAUCUAAAAACCAGGAAGUGGGCCCUCAUCAGACCAGAUCUUCCAGUGCCUUGAUCUUAGACUUCCCAGCCUCCAGAACUGAGCAAUGACAAAUAUCUGUUGUUUAAACCACCCAGUCUUAUGAUACAAAAAGAGGCCAGUUUACUUGCAGAGGUCGACCUCAGUGGACGCCUGUUCAGAUUUUCGAGUAUCUCUGGCAGAGUCUUGGGUUAGACAGCCCUUCCUGACACGGCCAUAGAUGGGAAGUCUGGAUUCAGAGUUCCUUGCCCAAAGUCCCUUUUGUAUUGAAUACAUUAAAUUGCAAUUUUU